This 226-nucleotide long non-coding RNA is filed under the name Bos taurus (domestic cattle). Its description in RNAcentral is "long non-coding RNA NONBTAT010706". The record is from RNAcentral. Lineage: Eukaryota; Metazoa; Chordata; Mammalia; Artiodactyla; Bovidae.
GGUAUUACGAGUGAUUUUAGAAAAUAGAAAUAAUGAACACAUAUCACUUUGAUAUGGAGAAAAAUUAAAAUAGAAUUGUUAUAUCAGGUACUAAAUUUGUUACCACAUCAGACUAAGCACCUGCCUCUCCAAUUCCAAGUCAUAGAUUAACAGAUUCACAGAUAUUCCCAUUCACAAGGCAGAAACUAGUUUAAUUAUUCAUAGACAAUUGAUGUUAUCAAAUAGA